Molecule: ribosomal RNA, 501 nt
Filed under: uncultured bacterium
Lineage: Bacteria
Description: partial 16S ribosomal RNA
Rfam family: Bacterial small subunit ribosomal RNA
Source: RNAcentral
AUUGAACGCUGGCGGCAGGCUUAACUCAUGCAAGUCGAGCGGGGUGAUGGUGCUUGCACUAUCACUUAGCGGCGGACGGGUGAGUAAUGCUUAGGAAUCUGCCUAUUAGUGGGGGACAACAUCUCGAAAGGGAUGCUAAUACCGCAUACGUCCUACGGGAGAAAGCAGGGGAUCACUUGUGACCUUGCGCUAAUAGAUGAGCCUAAGUCGGAUUAGCUAGUUGGUGGGGUAAAGGCCUACCAAGGCGACGAUCUGUAGCGGGUCUGAGAGGAUGAUCCGCCACACUGGGACUGAGACACGGCCCAGACUCCUACGGGAGGCAGCAGUGGGGAAUAUUGGACAAUGGGGGGAACCCUGAUCCAGCCAUGCCGUGUGUGAAGAAGGCCUUAUGGUUGUAAAGCACUUUAAGCGAGGAGGAGGCUCUUUUGGUUAAUACCCAAGAUGAGUGGACGUUACUCGCAGAAUAAGCACCGGCUAACUCUGUGCCAGCCGCCGCAGUAA